Molecule: small nucleolar RNA, 66 nt
Organism: Bombina bombina (fire-bellied toad)
Lineage: Eukaryota; Metazoa; Chordata; Amphibia; Anura; Bombinatoridae
Product: small nucleolar RNA SNORD2
Exons: 1
Source: RefSeq, a predicted model, not a curated record
AAGCGAAAUGAUGUCUACCAUCUUUCGGGACUGAAAACUGAUGACCUGUUAAUAAACUGAUCGCUC